Molecule: long non-coding RNA, 354 nt
Organism: Hibiscus syriacus
Lineage: Eukaryota; Viridiplantae; Streptophyta; Magnoliopsida; Malvales; Malvaceae
Exons: 3
Source: RefSeq, a predicted model, not a curated record
CUCCAAUAAAAAUGUUCUCUCCCUUCUCUGUAAAUGACCACCCAUCACAGUCGAUAUUUUCAUCGUUGAUCGAUCGUCGACUACGGUCAUCAAUAGUGAUCGUUGGGGCCCAAUUUACACUGGUUUUUCGUUUGUCCUUCUCACCGUUUGGAUUCGCUAACGGAGGUCCCAAUCGUCGGUGAGGCCACCGGCCAAAAGACGCCACAUAGCAGAAGUACCCCAAAAGAUAUUAUUUUUCAAAGCUGGCUAACGUUCGACGCGUAAGAGGGCAAACUGGUGCGUGUGAGGACGAGGUGCUGGUGCGUAGAUGACACGUGCGCUAGCCGACCUCUAUUGAAAUACCGCAUCGAUGUA